This 1742-nucleotide long non-coding RNA is filed under the name Pandoravirus neocaledonia. Its description in RNAcentral is "hypothetical ncRNA". The record is from RNAcentral.
CCUGGCACAGUGUGCGCGCUACACGGAUCUGUAAGGAGCGACGUCCUGAUCGCGCACGCGCUUGAUCGUCGCCUCUGUGAGGCGCGGCUCAACGAGGUGGACACGGCGCACGGUGGAGAGAUCCCCCUGGGAGAGCGCGUGCUCGACCGUAAUGUCGACCAUAUGAUCGACGCGCGCAUCAAUGUCGCGCUGGGGGAUGCCGCGGCGAGGUCGGCGAUCCAAGAGCAAAUCAAAGAGGUCGCGACGAUCCCUGUGGACGACCAGGGGAGACCGCACGCCACACACCGCCGGACGCCGCCAUCGAUAAUACUCGGGGAUGCCAUACGGAUCAUCAUACGCAUAGCGUUUAAACAGGUCGUGCUCCUUGACGUAUUCGACUUGGUGUCCGAGGGUCCAGCCAAUCGACGCCACAUGGCCGGCCAUGCACGCAUCGGCGUAGGCCGAACCCCAUAUCGUUGUCUGCAUCCGUGCGGGAUGCUCCGGCCACAUCGCGGCAACGUGCGCCUCGACAGUCCCGAACAAAUCGGUGCGAUUAUCAGAGGCGACGGCCCGAGCAAGACAGACCAGCCCACGCGAGCGCGAUUUCGCCACUUGAUGUUGGUGCACGUGCUCGUGAAACCAAAGUGCAUCGUCAGCGCUCUGUGUGGUAUAGACGCCGAUCUCCCGCUCGCCUUGCGCGAGAAACACCCCAGCCAGCCGCUUGUCGCCCAAGAGAUCUCUUAGCAUUCGCCAGUCACCGCUGAUAAUCGACGCGCGCACGGCGGUUGCGAUGGCGGUGGUUACACCUCCUCCUACCGCUGCGCCGACCGCUCUGACCAGGUCGCUAAUGCUGGCCGGUGGUGUUGGAGGCACUGCGGCCAGCCUGAACCACACGUUGCGAGAUACAGCCACUGGAAAGCCGCCGAGUGCCUCCAGAGCGUCGAGAGCGCCCACGACGGCGUCUGCAGAGUGCUUUGACUGAAUCGCUCGCGUGCACAUGUGUAUGACCGUUAUGUCGUCCCAUUCCUCGGUCGGCCGGUGCUCGGGACGACAUAGCCACACGAGAUCGGGAUCGUCACGACCGCGCAACGCAGCGGUAAACGCCAGCGCGGACCACUGAUGCAGCGAAAAGCGUUCGAUGGGCUCCACGGCGCGCAUCAGGUGCAUCACCAUGCGCGCGCGGCCUGCGACUUGCGCGGUCUGGACGUAGGCGACGAUGCGCGACCGGUCCACCGUGCAGACACAGGCACCGGGAUGCUCCACAGCGCCGCAAUGGUGUCGAUGAAGGUAAUGAUUCAUACCUUCAAUGUCACCCGCGGCACAGAGCGCGCCCGGCGUCGCCAGGCGAUAUCGACGCUGCAAAAGGCGAUCGGGGCCGAGGACGUGAAAGCGUCGCCAGGCCAAGAGGCACGCCCCCAGCGAGCGGUCAUCGACGUAGGCGUCGACGAUCGAGUAGAGCACAUCGUCGGGCAGCGCGUCGAUCAUCGUUGCCGACGCUACGGGUGUAUUUGCUGCCAUGCCCGAGAGCCUCCUUUUAGAAAAAAGAGGGAAAAGAAAGAAGAGGAAACGAAUGGCAGACGCCAGGUAAUGUGCCAAAAAAGAGGGGGCGAAAGGGCGCAGACGAUCGCUGUGUGUGGGCGCGGGCGCACGCACGAAAACACGCGACCGCCAAUAACAUUCGCUACGACGCAUGGCAUCGCCAAACAAAAAUGUGGCCACACAAAAAAAAGAUGGCGCAGUAAGUUGCGUUUUUUUGAUUCGUC